RNAcentral lists this microRNA precursor (84 nucleotides) under Bombyx mori (domestic silkworm). Its description in RNAcentral is "mir-2807 microRNA precursor family". It matches the Rfam family "mir-2807 microRNA precursor family". The record is from Rfam by way of RNAcentral. Lineage: Eukaryota; Metazoa; Arthropoda; Insecta; Lepidoptera; Bombycidae.
CAAAGUCAAAUUUGUAUGGAGUUGGAACGUUUGCCUACGUUUGCCGCUAGGGGCGCUGUUCCAUUUGCAAACAAAUUCGAGUUA